This is an unclassified non-coding RNA of Erinaceus europaeus (western European hedgehog), 315 nucleotides long. Its record names the gene 7SK. It matches the Rfam family "7SK RNA". Rfam says of the family: 7SK was discovered as an abundant small nuclear RNA in the mid-70s but a possible function has only recently been suggested. The record is from Ensembl. Lineage: Eukaryota; Metazoa; Chordata; Mammalia; Eulipotyphla; Erinaceidae.
GGAUGAGAGGGCAAUCUGACUGCGACAUUUGUCACUUCAUUAAUCUCCAGAAUUGAUUCAGCUGAUCUGGCUGGCUAAGUAGAUGUCUCUUUCCUCUCGUACUGCUCCAUGUGCAUCCCUCCUGAAGCUGCAACACUUAGUCAAAGAGGAUGGCCUUCCCGGAAUACAGACUGACUGGUCUUGGUUGAGGGUAUAUGAGCAGCUGCACUCCCCUGCUAGAGCCUCCAAACAAGCUCUCAAAGAAAUAUCUGGAAAUUAUUAAGCAGUAUAGUACAGUGGAAAGCCACAAAAUUAACAUAAAAAUCAGUGGCAUUU